RNAcentral lists this ribosomal RNA (573 nucleotides) under Diplocirrus longisetosus. RNAcentral's name for it is "SSU rRNA". It matches the Rfam family "Eukaryotic small subunit ribosomal RNA", at positions 1308 to 1811 of the family's 1831-position model. The record is from RNAcentral. Lineage: Eukaryota; Metazoa; Annelida; Polychaeta; Terebellida; Flabelligeridae.
GAUUUGUCUGGUUGAUUUCCGAUAACGAACGAGACUCAAGCCUCUAUUUAGUUCGCCCGUCGCUCAGACACAUAAUGAUUCGGGGCGUUGGUCGCCUUUCGGGGUGGUCGCGUCUCAAUUGAACAGAGCAUAGCGGGCGAAAGACUCGUCAUUCUUGGCGGGUCCAACUUCUUAGAGGGACAAAUGACAACAGUCAUGUGAAAUUGAGCAAUAACAGGUCUGUGAUGCCCUUAGAUGUCCGGGGCCGCACGCGCGCUACACUGAAAGAAUCAAUAAGCGAAUAUUCCCCGUCCGAGAGGAUCAGGGUAAUCAAGUGAGACUCUUUCGUGAUAGGGCUUGUGCAUUGCAAAUGCACAUAAACGAGGAAUUCCCAGUAAUCGCAAGUCAUGAACUUGCGCUGAUUGAGUCCCUGCCCUUUGUACACACCGCCCGUCGCUACUACCGAUUGGGCGUCUCAGUAAAGUAUUUGGAUUGGCAUCACUGGGCGCUACGGUGCCCAUAUGGACUGCCAAGAAGAAAGCUGAGCUGAGGCGUUUAGAGGAAGUAAAAGUCGUAACAGGGUUUCCGUAGGGU